CAGUCGCCGCGGGAACACAGAGGGUGCGAGCGUUAAUCGGAUUUACUGGGCGUAAAGCGUGCGUAGGCGGCUUUUUAAGUCGGAUGUGAAAUCCCUGAGCUUAACUUAGGAAUUGCAUUCGAUACUGGGAAGCUAGAGUAUGGGAGAGGAUGGUAGAAUUCCAGGUGUAGCGGUGAAAUGCGUAGAGAUCUGGAGGAAUACCGAUGGCGAAGGCAGCCAUCUGGCAUAAUACUGACGCUGAGGUACGAAAGCAUGGGGAGCAAACAGGAUUAGAUACCCGGGUAGUCCCUGUCUCUUAUAC
This 301-nucleotide ribosomal RNA is filed under the name uncultured bacterium. RNAcentral describes it as "partial 16S ribosomal RNA". It matches the Rfam family "Bacterial small subunit ribosomal RNA", at positions 509 to 807 of the family's 1533-position model. The record is from RNAcentral.